UCCGAUUUACAUCGGCAGUCUCCUAUGAGUUCCCACCAUUAUGUGCUGGCAACAUAGAACGAGGGUUGCGCUCGUUGGCGGACUUAACCGUACACCUCACGGCACGAGCUGACGACAGCCAUGCAACAAGUGUCUUCAGGUCUCCUUUUGGGAGAGGGCCCGGUUUCUCGGGCUUACCAUCGAUGUCAAACCUGGGUAAGGUUCUUCGGUUAGUAUCGAAUUAAUCCACAUGCUCCACCGCUUGUGCGGGUCCCCGUCAAUUCAUUUGAGUUUCAACCUUGCGGCCGUACUCCCCAGGCGGGAUACUUAGUGCGUUAGCUGCGGCACAAGAGGGAUCGAUACCUCUUACGCCUAGUAUCCAUCGUUUAGGGCGUGGACUAC
RNAcentral lists this unclassified non-coding RNA (381 nucleotides) under uncultured Armatimonadota bacterium. RNAcentral's name for it is "uncultured Armatimonadetes bacterium contains 16S-23S intergenic spacer region". The record is from RNAcentral. Lineage: Bacteria; Bacillati; Armatimonadota.